Molecule: ribosomal RNA, 267 nt
Filed under: Triticum aestivum (bread wheat)
Lineage: Eukaryota; Viridiplantae; Streptophyta; Magnoliopsida; Poales; Poaceae
Description: partial small subunit ribosomal RNA
Source: RNAcentral
AUGCUUGUUGAGACAAACAAGCAUGAACUAUAUCAUAUUGUUUACAAGCUUCUUAAGUUGGUAUUGAUUCUCCCAGUAGCUACUGCUAGUGUUGAAAGGGUAUUCUCUUUAAUGAGCUAUGUGAAGAAUAAGUUAAGGAACAAAAUGGGUGAUGAAUAUUUGAACAAUUGUUUGGUUACAUUUGUUGAGAGAGAAUUUUUCAAUCAAGUGAAGGAUGAAGAUGUCAUCAAUCUCUUCCAGAAAGGCGACCGCAAAGUUAUAUUGUAA